UGGGGAAUUUUGCACAAUGGGGGGAACCUUGAUGCAGCGACGCCGCGUGAGGGAUGGAGGCCUUCGGGUUGUGAACCUCUUUCGCUCGUGUGCAAGCUGCUAUUUGGGUAGUGGUGAGUGUAGCGGGUAAAGAAGCGCCGGCUAACUACGUGCCAGCAGCCGCGGUAAUACGUAGGGCGCGAGCGUUGUCCGGAUUUAUUGGGCGUAAGGGGCUUGUAGGCGGUUUGUCGCGCCUGUCGUGUAAUCCUCUGGUUUAACUGGGGAUGGGCGGUGGGUACGGGCAAGCUUGAAUGCGGUAGGGGAGAUUGGAAUUCCUGGUGAAGCGGGGGAAUGCGCAGGUAUCAGGAGGACCACCGGUGGCGAAGGCGGGUCUCUGGGCCGUUACUGACGCUGAGGAGCGAAAGCGUGGGGAGCGAACAGG
This 421-nucleotide ribosomal RNA is filed under the name Fusobacteriota bacterium. RNAcentral describes it as "Fusobacteria bacterium partial 16S ribosomal RNA". It matches the Rfam family "Bacterial small subunit ribosomal RNA", at positions 355 to 776 of the family's 1533-position model. The record is from RNAcentral. Lineage: Bacteria; Fusobacteriati; Fusobacteriota.